Molecule: ribosomal RNA, 464 nt
Filed under: uncultured bacterium
Lineage: Bacteria
Description: partial 16S ribosomal RNA
Rfam family: Bacterial small subunit ribosomal RNA
Source: RNAcentral
GACGAACGCUGGCGGCGUGCUUAACACAUGCAAGUCGAACGGAAAGGCCCUGCUUGCAGGGUACUCGAGUGGCGAACGGGUGAGUAACACGUGGGUGAUCUGCCCUGCACUUCGGGAUAAGCCAGGGAAACUGGGUCUAAUACCGGAUAGGAGCCAUUUUUAGUGUGAUGGUUGGAAAGUUUUUUCGGUGUAGGAUGAGCUCGCGGCCUAUCAGCUUGUUGGUGGGGUAAUGGCCUACCAAGGCGGCGACGGGUAGCCGGCCUGAGAGGGUGGACGGCCACAUUGGGACUGAGAUACGGCCCAGACUCCUACGGGAGGCAGCAGUGGGGAAUAUUGCACAAUGGGCGCAAGCCUGAUGCAGCGACGCCGCGUGGGGGAUGACGGCCUUCGGGUUGUAAACUCCUUUCGCUAGGGACGAAGCUUUUGUGACGGUACCUAGAUAAGAAGCACCGGCUAACUACGUG